AUGUGAUGCUGGAUGUUGCAUCUAAAUACAGAAAUACAUCAAAUUACAUCCAAAUCAGCCACAUACAUCCGAAUACAUUCAAAUUAAUCUAAGACAAACCACACUAAUUAGAGUUUUCAAAUCUACCAUAGUCUAAUACAACCACUGUAAAACAAGCCCAACAUGGCAACCUUAACCAAAUAUAUGAAAGACAAAAUCUCAUCCAUCAUUUCCACGUAAAAGUUAUAGUGAUAUUCCUGAAAUGAAAAACAAAAUGUUAGUUGAAAACUCUAUAAUUAAAAUAUCUUUUAUAAGAAGAUUUUUACAAUCACCUAGAGAUGAAUAACUAUCAUUAUCUACACUUGGGUUGGGAGUUGCGCCGUCAUGACAAGGUGAAUACCUGCAACAAAAAUGACAUAUCAUAAAUUAUUUAGAUACAACUUCGAAACUAUGAAAACGAAUGAAAAUUUACAAAUUUCUUACCGAUUUGUAAGCAUGGGACAAUCAUAAAAUCCACCAAUGAAUUAUUUUUUGAAACAUAUUUUUUGAAGAAUGAGUGAGAAUAAAUUUAAAAAGGCUAAAAUAACAAGUUUGUUUUUGUAUUGAGCACCUAUUGUUCUAUUUUUCUACUAAUAUAACUAAUUUUCGCCAAUCUUCAAUCAUGGGCUCAACUAGCCUCUGUUUGUAGCAAUGUCCGAUCAUAAAAUUGAGAACAAGAAGUGCUUCUCCACAAAAUGAGGGUGGGCUGUCUCUCUCUCCGACCCGACUCUUUCCUUUGAGGAAAGAGAGUAAGGGUCGACCUACUCAAUGGUAAAAUGGUUAAAAGAUAAAGUAUCAAUAUCUCACUUGGUUACAAUUUAUAAAGUAAUUGUACUCUAGUUAGCCCGAACAAUCAACCAAAUAAACGAAUUCUCAGAUAAAUUUUGCAAUGAGAUGGAACAACUCAAGCUGGAAAUAGAUGAAGAACGCAGAGCAAGAUCAAGACUUAAACAGGUCCUACGGCUGAGGAAGUAGACUCUUUAGACAUUGCAACUUACUCUUGUACAUGGAGAAAACAGAGAACAAAGAGGCCCUCACAUAAACAAUACACUUUCCCCAAAACAAACCCUAGAUUUCUUUCAAAUCAAAUAGAAAUUACAUAAUUAAGUCAGAAUCUUUACCUUCCGAUUCUCUUUGUAAGAAUCUUUACCUUCCGAUUUGCAACACCACCUGUUCGAUCGCCUUUUUACCCUUCCGAUUUACAAUAGGCGAGCUGAUAGAGAGAGGGAGAGAGGGACAAG
This 1259-nucleotide long non-coding RNA is filed under the name Panax ginseng (ginseng). RNAcentral describes it as "long non-coding RNA (PGIN_LNC013024)". Lineage: Eukaryota; Viridiplantae; Streptophyta; Magnoliopsida; Apiales; Araliaceae. The record is from RNAcentral.